RNAcentral lists this ribosomal RNA (492 nucleotides) under uncultured bacterium. RNAcentral's name for it is "partial 16S ribosomal RNA". It matches the Rfam family "Bacterial small subunit ribosomal RNA", at positions 29 to 507 of the family's 1533-position model. The record is from RNAcentral.
AGUGAACGCUGGCGGUAGGCCUAACACAUGCAAGUCGAACGGCAGCACAGUAAGAGCUUGCUCUUACGGGUGGCGAGUGGCGGACGGGUGAGGAAUACAUCGGAAUCUACUUUUUCGUGGGGGAUAACGUAGGGAAACUUACGCUAAUACCGCAUACGACCUACGGGUGAAGGCAUGGGAUCUUCGGACCUUGCGCGAUUGAAUGAGCCGAUGUCGGAUUAGCUAGUUGGCGGGGUAAAGGCCCACCAAGGCGGCGAUCCGUAGCCGGUCUGAGAGGAUGAUCGGCCACACUGGAACUGGGACACGGUCCAGACUCCUACGGGAGGCAGCAGUGGGGAAUAUUGGACAAUGGGCGCAAGCCUGAUCCAGCCAUACCGCGUGGGUGAAGAAGGCCUUCGGGUUGUAAAGCCCUUUUGUUGGGAAAGAAAAGCAGCAGGUUAAUACCCCGCUGUUCUGACGGUACCCAAAGAAUAAGCACCGGCUAACUUCGUG